UACGAAGGGGGCGAGCGUUGUUCGGAAUUACUGGGCGUAAAGGGCGCGUAGGCGGUCCGACAAGUCAGGGGUGAAAUCCUGCAGCUUAACUGCAGAAGUGCCUUUGAUACUGUCGGUCUUGAGGGAGAUAGGGGUGUGCGGAACUCACAGUGGAGCGGUGAAAUGCGUUGAUAUUGUGAGGAACGCCGGAGGCGAAAGCGGCGCACUGGAUCUCUUCUGACGCUGAGGCGCGAAAGCUAGGGGAGCAAACGGG
Molecule: ribosomal RNA, 253 nt
Filed under: uncultured bacterium
Lineage: Bacteria
Description: partial 16S ribosomal RNA
Rfam family: Bacterial small subunit ribosomal RNA
Source: RNAcentral